AAUGAACGUUGGCGGCGUGGAUUAGGCAUGCAAGUCGAGCGGGUAUAGCAAUAUAUCAGCGGCGAAAGGGAGAGUAACGCGUAGCUACGUACCCCGGAGUCCAGAAUAGCCAGCCGAAAGGCUGGGUAAUGCUGGAUGAUGUCUCCGGACUAAAGGUGUGAUUCCGCUUUGGGAGCGGGCUGCGUUGUACUAGCUUGUUGGUAGGGUAAUGGCCUACCAAGGCGAUGAUGCAUACCGGGCGUGAGAGCGUGGCCCGGCUCACUGGGACUGAGACACUGCCCAGACACCUACGGGUGGCUGCAGUCGAGAAUCUUCGGCAAUGAGCGCAAGCUUGACCGAGCGACGCCGCGUGCGGGAUGAAGGCCUUCGGGUUGUAAACCGCGAAAGUAGGGAGGAAAUCGCUAGGGGUUCUCCCCUAGUGUUGACCUAUCUUCAGUAAGGACGGGCUAAGUUCGUGCCAGCAGCCGCCGUAACAC
RNAcentral lists this ribosomal RNA (476 nucleotides) under uncultured bacterium. Its description in RNAcentral is "bacterial SSU rRNA". It matches the Rfam family "Bacterial small subunit ribosomal RNA", at positions 29 to 526 of the family's 1533-position model. The record is from RNAcentral.